GAUGAACGCUGGCGGCGUGCCUAAUACAUGCAAGUCGAGCGAAGCGGGGACGGGUGAGUAACCCGUGGUUAACCUCCUAUACGACUGGGAUAAAUUCGGGAAACCGGAGCUAAACCGGCUACUCAUCGAUGGCUCCGCGCUGCAUUCGCUAGUUGGUAAGGUAACGGCUUACCAAGGCAACGAUGCAGAGCCGACCUGUGAGGGUGAUCGGCCACACGGGAGCUGACACGGUCCAGACGCCAACGGGAGGCAGCAGUAGGGAAUCUUGCGCAAUGGGCGAAAGCCUGACGGAGCAACGCCGCGGGAGUGAGGAAGGUCUUCGGAUCGUAAAACUCUGUUAUUAGGGAAGCGGUACCUAAUCAGAAAGCCACGGCUAACUACGUGCCAGCAGCCGCGGUAAUAC
RNAcentral lists this ribosomal RNA (403 nucleotides) under uncultured bacterium. RNAcentral's name for it is "partial 16S ribosomal RNA". It matches the Rfam family "Bacterial small subunit ribosomal RNA", at positions 28 to 526 of the family's 1533-position model. The record is from RNAcentral.